RNAcentral lists this ribosomal RNA (253 nucleotides) under uncultured bacterium. RNAcentral's name for it is "partial 16S ribosomal RNA". It matches the Rfam family "Bacterial small subunit ribosomal RNA", at positions 524 to 776 of the family's 1533-position model. The record is from RNAcentral.
UACGGAGGGUGCGAGCGUUGUCCGGAAUCACUGGGCGUAAAGGGCGCGUAGGUGGCCCGUUAAGUGGCUGGUGAAAUCCCGGGGCUCAACUCCGGGGCUGCCGGUCAGACUGGCGAGCUAGAGCACGGUAGGGGCAGAUGGAAUCCCCGGUGUAGCGGUGGAAUGCGUAGAGAUCGGGAAGAAUACCAGUGGCGAAGGCGUUCUGCUGGGCCGUUGCUGACACUGAGGCGCGACAGCGUGGGGAGCAAACAGG